Molecule: long non-coding RNA, 1874 nt
Organism: Loxodonta africana (African savanna elephant)
Lineage: Eukaryota; Metazoa; Chordata; Mammalia; Proboscidea; Elephantidae
Exons: 3
Source: RefSeq, a predicted model, not a curated record
AUUUCUUACUAUCAUGGCCUAAAAGAAAAGAGAUGAUCUAUAAGAACAAAAUAGUCGACAUUUUUUUUCUACAGUAACCGGAAAAUCUAUUUUGUGCUUUUCUUGCCAAUACUGAACUAUUAAUCAUACUUUCCACAAGAGACUGAGACAGGAGUAAUGGAAGAUGUUCACUUCUUAUAUGCAUCUGGGCUGUUUGGAUUUUUUUGCAAAGAACAUUUAAAUGAAAACCUAAAGAUUCAUAAUUUUAAAAAAUCUGUAAGUAGAUCAAGUUUAUUCACAUAUCCACUAACUGUUGAGUGUUUACUAUGCUCCAGACUCUGUGCCAAGAAAGCAGAACUAACAGAAGUCCCCAGCCCACAGGAGCCCACAGUCCCAGGGACAAGUCAAUGGAGGUUUUCACCGUGGGAAAAUGUAGAUGCAAGUAUGGAACAAGGGAAGAGGAAGAACCCUGUGGAUUUGGAAUGGAACUCAGGAAACCAAUAGUAGAUGAUCACCAGAACAAAGGCAUAAACUAAGAAAAAGGAAGAUAUGAGAUCCAGGAAACAGCAGAUCCAACACUGAAGGAGCCAAGAAGAAUAGAAGGAUUGUGGCAAAGGGAGAUUUCAGUAAUGACAGCUAUGCAGCAUGCCUAGAGUUACCAGUCCACAUGGGAAAAGGGGCAUAGAAGAUUCCUGUAGGCAUGUCUCUAAGAAAAUAAUGGAACUAAUAAAUUAUCUAAUAAGUCUGACCAUAGAAUAUUGGACUGAAAGGUGUUUUACAGAGCUGCUGGAAGAUACGGAAAGACAAUGUACAUUCAAAGAUAACUGCAAAAUGAGGGGAUAGGGAGAAAGGAGGGAGGAGUGAAGAGAUUAAAAUUCCUCACUACCAUAGUAGGAAGUCAAUACAUAAUUCUAAAAUUUCUGAAUUAAAAGAUAGCAGUAAUGCUUAAUACUUAACUAUGGAGACAAAACAAAGAGCUAAAAGAGUUACUUCAAAGGAGAAUUAAAAGUGCUCCCCCCUCUAUCCUCGCCAAGCAGAAAUUUAAAAAUAGUAACAAUAAUAAAACUUAACUAUAAUUGUGCUUCAAGUGCAUUUUUUGACAAAAGAGGUUUAGGCCAAAAUAUGAUUUUAUAGCAAUUAAGGUCAUAACGUAGAAAAAAACGAGGUUGGAAAAUCACCUUUUUAAGCACCUUCAUUGCAAAUAUUUUUCCAGUAUUUGCUCCUGUUACUUUUCGUACUUGAAAAACCUGGAUAAAAAAUAAAAGUGUUAUUAAAAGCCAAACUAUGCCAGUCACAUUCUCUGAAUUCCUAUUUAUAAGAAACAAACAGUACAGCAGUUUAUAUUCUUGUGAAAACUAGCUCCAUGAAGGUCCAUGUGCAAAAAUGAUCACCUAAGAGAGCAGACCACACCAAGGCUUUAGCGGUGAAUUCUACACAGCAUGGGACUUUCCUGUUUGGUCUGCUGCCAUCUGGUGGCAAAGUUAGGCAAUGACUGUCUAGCGAUGAGCUAUAAUUGGGGUUCCCAGAAGCGUAUCACCAAACUGAAAAAAUUGUAUUUCAGAAAUUUCUCCCAGGGAUGCUACAUAAAACAACUUAAUAAUAGUUGACUGGAAUUACUGUUUACCUAUCCCUUAAAAUGACUGGUUAUAAAACAUUUUCUUGCCACAGCUAAAAUACGUGACUCAAAGUGCAUGUGUUACACAUCCAGGAUCAUUAGAACACAUUUGAAUGUGUCCUUAAGCCUCAGAAUAAACUACAAAUGUCAUGCUCUGCAAGAAUUAACACUACACAAUACUACACAAUAGCAUAAGUAUUCCUUAACUUAUUCCUAACCAAUUUGUUGUCCAAAUUCUGCCUUUGAUAGAGAAUGACUAGGUAUAAAUUUCUCGGGCAAA